UCUUACGUCUAUGUGUGACCUUAGAGUGCC
RNAcentral lists this non-coding RNA (30 nucleotides) under Mus musculus (house mouse). The record is from RNAcentral. Lineage: Eukaryota; Metazoa; Chordata; Mammalia; Rodentia; Muridae.